CUACGGGAGGCAGCAGUGAGGAAUAUUGGGCAAUGGGGGAAACCCUGACCCAGCAAUGCCGCGUGCGGGAAGACGCCUUUCGGGGUGUAAACCGCUUUUCUGCAUGAAGAGGAAGGACGGUAGUGCAGGAAUAAGUCACGGCUAACUACGUGCCAGCAGCCGCGGUAAUACGGAGGGGGCGAGCGUUGUUCGGAAUUACUGGGCGUAAAGGGCGCGUAGGCGGCCGGUCGCGUUAGGUGUGAAAGCCCCGGGCUCAACCUGGGAACUGCACUUAAUACGGGCUGGCUCGAGAGCGGGAGAGGAGUGUGGAAUUCCCAGUGUAGAGGUGAAAUUCGUAGAUAUUGGGAAGAACACCGGUGGCGAAGGCGGCACUCUGGCCCGUUUCUGACGCUGAGGCGCGAAAGCGUGGGGAGCAAACAGGAUUAGAUACCCGGGUAGUCC
This 441-nucleotide ribosomal RNA is filed under the name uncultured bacterium. RNAcentral describes it as "bacterial SSU rRNA". It matches the Rfam family "Bacterial small subunit ribosomal RNA", at positions 339 to 796 of the family's 1533-position model. The record is from RNAcentral.